GAGGGUAUAGCUCAGUGGUAGAGCUCAUGCUUAGCAUGCAGGAGGUCCUGGGUUCAAUCCCCAGUAUCUUCA
RNAcentral lists this transfer RNA (72 nucleotides) under Camelus bactrianus (Bactrian camel). It matches the Rfam family "tRNA". From Rfam's summary of the family: Transfer RNA (tRNA) molecules are approximately 80 nucleotides in length. RNAcentral also lists the same sequence under 2 other names. Lineage: Eukaryota; Metazoa; Chordata; Mammalia; Artiodactyla; Camelidae. The record is from Rfam by way of RNAcentral.